AUCAUUAGCAGCAACAACACAAAUCAAAUUCAACCCAUUUUAAUUCUUUUCAUCAUCAUCUUCAUGAAUUAAAAACAAUGGAUUUCUCCAAAUUCAUCACAUCAACAACAUAGCAACAACACGAUGCUUUGAACCAACAACAUCAUAAAAAAAUAUCUCUCUCUUCCCUUUCUCUCUUCCAAUCCAUUCAUAGAAACAUAACAAAAAAAAAUUGAAUUCUUGCUUUUUUCUCUUCCCUUUCUCUCAAAUGUGUGGUACUGUAAUCACACAUAAUCAAAUGUGAGGUUUAUUUCAAUUCUUCCUUCCAGUAACUUUAAGUUACAAUUCAUGGGAUUUGAUUUUGGAUAACGUCUGAAUAAAUAAAAAAUAAAGGCUUAAAUGUUCUUUUGGUCCCUUAACUAUUUAAUUGGUAUCGCUUUGGUCCCUUAACUAAAAAAAAGAUUGUUUGAGGAUUUCAAGUUUUUUUUUAGUCUCGUUUUGGUCCCUUCUGUUAGGUUUCCGUUAUUUUUAAUAAAAAACGUUAAGUGUGGACACGUGUCACCUUGUCAUUGACUCUUUUUUUUUUUUUAAUAUAUAUAUUUUAUUUUUUUGUAAAAAAAUUCCCAGAACCAAUGACAAGGUGACACGUGUUAACUCUGGGACACGUGUCACUUUGUCAUUGGCUUUGAGAUUUUUUUUUUUAAAAAUAAUAAUUUUUUUUGAAAGAAAAAAAAAAACUCGGAGCCAAUGACAAGGUGACACGUGUCCAGGAGUUAACUUUUUUUUAAAACCCUAACGGAAACCUAACAGAACCAAAACGAGACUAAAAAAAACUUAAAAUCCUCAAACAAUCUUUUUUGGUUUAAAUGCUCUUUUGGUCCCUUAAGUAUUUAUUUAGUAUCGCUUUGGUCCCAUAAGUAAUAAAAGGUCCGUUUUGGUCCCUUAACUUUAUUGAAAGUAUCGGUUUGGUCCUUUCUGUUAAUUUAAUUCAAAAAAAAGUUAAAUUUUGAUCCCUUAUCUUAUUUAAUUAGUAUUAGUUUGGUCCCUUAACUUAUUUAAUUAGUAUUAGUUUGGUCCUUAAACUUAACAUUUUUUUGAAUUAAAUUAACAUAAAGGAUCAAACCGAUACUUUAAAUAAAGUUAAGGGACCUAAACGGACCUUUUAUUACUUAUGGCACCAAAGCGAUACCAAAUAAAUACUUAAGGGACAAAAGGAGCAUUUAAGCCAUCUUUUUUUUAGUUAAGGGACCAAAGCGAUACCAAUUAAAUAGUUAAGAGACCAAAAGAGCAUUUAAGCCAAAAAUAAAACUUUAUUGAUUUAUUUAGAAUUUUAUGAGAUCCAAUUUCUUAGUUUAUGAGUUUCAACUGAAGCAAAUCGAAGUACAUUCCUUCAGGGAGAGUUCGAACAGGAUAAGAAGAAAGUGUGGGAGAUGGGUGAUCUAUGGAAGUAUGGAGAUGAGGGAGAGACACGCUGAAGAAGAAGAAAAUAAGACAGAAGACCUUUUGUAAUCUUUUUGCAACCUUAUCACUUAUUUUUGUGGGUUUGGCUUUGAAUAAAUUUUGCCCUUUGUAAUCAUAUAAAGCUAUUUUGCAAAUGAAUCUAGGUAUUUUUGUUGUGUUAAAUUUGUGGAAGCCAUGAAUUCAUGAUCUUGAAGGCGUGAAUUGAUGUUGAAUUUGAGUUUUUUCAGGUAUAUUGUAUGAAUGUUCAUGAAUUUUGUAUGAACAUGAAAAAGCGGUGGAAGGAAAAAGAUGAAGAGAGGGAGAAAAAAUUAUGUGGUGAUGGUUCACUAUUGUAUAUAAUGGACCUACAAUCGAAUUGUUGAAAUCAUAUCAGAGAUGUUAAAAAUUAAAAAAUUAACGGAGAUGACCAAAAUAGUAAACAGCGGAAGAUUUAUAGGACCAAAUUGAGACACUUUGUAGUUAG
Molecule: long non-coding RNA, 1903 nt
Filed under: Medicago truncatula (barrel medic)
Lineage: Eukaryota; Viridiplantae; Streptophyta; Magnoliopsida; Fabales; Fabaceae
Description: long non-coding RNA (MTRU_LNC002390)
Rfam family: MIR2655 microRNA precursor family (bases 890-1156)
Source: RNAcentral